Long non-coding RNA from Fundulus heteroclitus (mummichog), 552 nucleotides. RefSeq lists it as uncharacterized. Lineage: Eukaryota; Metazoa; Chordata; Actinopteri; Cyprinodontiformes; Fundulidae. The record is from RefSeq and is a predicted model, not a curated record. The transcript has 2 exons.
UCUUCUUUUACUUGAAAUCUCAUCAUCCUGUCCUGGUUUACAUUUGCACCAGUGCUGUAUUGAAGCUUAAUGUAGGUGUAUAGACAUGUAGAAUAAAAUGGUUUUCGGUUCUUUGAAGGUUUUAUUUUCUUUACUCGUUAUGUUCUGGUCGGGUUUACAAUUGAAAGAAAGAUUCUUAGGUUUCUGCCAUCGGUAGUGUAGCACUAAUCUGUUUUCUCACAUUUCCCUUAUGUGUAUUAAAAGUCUCUAAAGAGGACUGUACCAACUUGAAACCUGCUGUUAUUUUAAACCAAUUAUUUGGUUUAUAAUAAAAACAUUGAUUUGUGAAAUAUUUUUACUGCUGUUACAAAAUAAUAUAAAUCAGGAAUAUAUCAUGUUAUAAUAUAUCAAAUUGGGCAGGCAAAGUAUGUUUUAUCAUGUGAUGUCACUGCCGAUAUUUGGUAUUUGUGAGGCGUUUCAUCACCUGGCUCAAAGUGCAAUAAAGUAAGACACAUAUUUUAUGGUAACUUAUUUUUUCCCAACCUCACAAAUAUUAAAUGUGUUUAGUUUUCA